ACCCAAAAAAAAAAUGAAGAGAUAACAUUUACUUUUGUUCGGAGAGUGGCAAGAAUAAGCGCAGAGGCGAUGGGUCCAGUGGGGAAGAGGCUCUGGGAGGUUCUGGUUUGUCCUCUCUCGAAGCAUCCCUUGAGCUCAAAAACGGGAUCCCUUGCUUGGUUCCACAAGAUGGGAAGAUACUCGAGGAACAAGAUGCCAAUGAUGCUAAUUCGUCUGCAAUGAAUGAAGAACAUCAAGGAAGAAGAUGAACUGUAAGAGAUUUCAGCGUCUCUUCCUUUAAUUGUCACUCUUCUGGUGCUCAUUCUGUUAUUAGUAUUGCAAAUAACUCUCAUCAAUUUCUGUUUAACUCUCACUGUCUUGAGUAAAUUAUGAUAAUGUCCUUUGAAAUUAAGAGGUGUUGCAUGUAAGAGUGCUGAUAAUUAAGAGCUUUUAGAUAUGAAAAAGCUUGGUACACUAAUUUUCUUUUUUUUUUUUUUUUUAAAUACCUUAUAAUUAAGUUAUAAACUACUUACUAUCUCAACUAA
Arachis ipaensis is the source of this 524-nucleotide non-coding RNA. Lineage: Eukaryota; Viridiplantae; Streptophyta; Magnoliopsida; Fabales; Fabaceae. The record is from RefSeq and is a predicted model, not a curated record.